CAGUCGCCGCGGUAAUACGGGGGGUGCAAGCGUUAAUCGGAAUUACUGGGCGUAAAGCGCACGCAGGCGGUUUGUUAAGUCAGAUGUGAAAUCCCCGAGCUUAACUUGGGAACUGCAUUUGAAGCUGGCAAGCUAGAGUCUUGUAGAGGGGGGUAGAAUUCCAGGUGUAGCGGUGAAAUGCGUAGAGAUCUGGAGGAAUACCGGUGGCGAAGGCGGCCCCCUGGACAAAGACUGACGCUCAGGUGCGAAAGCGUGGGGAGCAAACAGGAUUAGAUACCCCAGUAGUCCCUGUCUCUUAUAC
Molecule: ribosomal RNA, 301 nt
Filed under: uncultured bacterium
Lineage: Bacteria
Description: partial 16S ribosomal RNA
Rfam family: Bacterial small subunit ribosomal RNA
Source: RNAcentral